ACCAACCCUAGCCCUAUGCCUAACUUACUGAACUAUUUUAUUAUAUAAACUAAACCAUUCAUACACUGAAGUAUUGGCGAAAGAAACUUUCAACAGGAGCUAUAGAGAAAGUACCGCAAGGGAAAGAUGAAAUAAUUACAAUAAAAGUACUAAUAAGCAAAGAUUAAAACUUGUACCUUUUGCAUAAUGGAUUAGCUAGAACACUACUAACUAAGAGACCUUAAGCUAGAAACCCCGAAACCAAACGAGCUACCCGAAAGCAACCAUCAGGGUGCACCCCUCUAUGUAGCAAAAUAGUGGGAAGACUUCCGGGUAGAGGUGAAAAGCCUACCGAGCUUGGUGAUAGCUGGUUACCCACUAAAUGAAUUUUAGUUCAACUUUAAGCUUACCAUACGGACCUCAAACCUAAAUGUAAACUUAAAAUAUAAUCUAAAAAGGGACAGCUCUUUAGAUAAUGGACACAACCUCAGGCAGUAAAUAAGUCUGUAUAACAACCAUUGUUGGCCUAAAAGCAGCCACCAACAAAGAAAGCGUUCAAGCUCAAAAGCCCCAAAAAACUUAAUUCCUCAAUCCAAAACAAAUUUCUGCCAUAUUAAGUGGGUCAAUCUAUUUAUUAAUAGAAGAGAUAAUGCUAGUAUAAGUAACAAGAACACUAUUCUCCCAGCACAAGCCUAUAACAACUCGGAUGCCCAUUGUUAAUUAACAUAACUAAAUAUAUAAACAAAUAUAAACCCUAUUUUAACUUAAUAUGUUAACCCGACACAGGAGUGCUAUAAGGAAAGAUUAAAAGGAAUAAAAGGAACUCGGCAAACACGAGCCCCGCCUGUUUACCAAAAACAUCACCUCUAGCAUUUCAAGUAUUAGAGGCACUGCCUGCCCAGUGACUAACGUUCAACGGCCGCGGUAUCCUGACCGUGCAAAGGUAGCAUAAUCACUUGUUCCUUAAUUAGGGACUAGAAUGAACGGCUAAACGAGGGCCCAACUGUCUCUUAUUCCCAAUCAGUGAAAUUGACCUUUCCGUGAAGAGGCGGAAAUUAAAUUAUAAGACGAGAAGACCCUAUGGAGCUUAAAUUUCCUAACCUAAGUACAUACACAAUUAACCUACUGGACUAACACCCAAACCACUGGGUUAGUAAUUUUGGUUGGGGUGACCUCGGAGAACAAAAAAACCUCCGAAAGAUAUUAAUCUAGACACACAAGUCAAAAUAACAUUUUAUCCAAUUGACCCAAUUCUUUUGAUCAACGGACCAAGUUACCCUAGGGAUAACAGCGCAAUCCUAUUCAAGAGUUCAUAUCGACAAUUAGGGUUUACGACCUCGAUGUUGGAUCAGGACAUCCCAAUGGUGCAGAAGCUAUUAAAGGUUCGUUUGUUCAACGAUUAAAGUCCUACGUGAUCUGAGUUCAGACCGGAGCAAUCCAGGUCGGUUUCUAUCUAUAUACGAUUUCUCCCAGUACGAAAGGACAAGAGAAAUAAAGCCACCUUACCUUAAGUGCUUUAAAACAAUAUAUGAAAUUAUCUUAAUUUAAUACAUCCGUCACACAUGCCCCUAGAAAAGGGGCA
This 1561-nucleotide ribosomal RNA is filed under the name Akodon montensis. RNAcentral describes it as "16S ribosomal RNA". It matches the Rfam family "Bacterial large subunit ribosomal RNA". The record is from RNAcentral. Lineage: Eukaryota; Metazoa; Chordata; Mammalia; Rodentia; Cricetidae.